RNAcentral lists this small RNA (28 nucleotides) under Bombyx mori (domestic silkworm). Its description in RNAcentral is "ovarian small RNA-10703". The record is from RNAcentral. Lineage: Eukaryota; Metazoa; Arthropoda; Insecta; Lepidoptera; Bombycidae.
AAGUGCAACUCCACAUCGUAUGAUGAGC